This 204-nucleotide ribosomal RNA is filed under the name Vibrio parahaemolyticus. RNAcentral's name for it is "partial 16S ribosomal RNA". It matches the Rfam family "Bacterial small subunit ribosomal RNA", at positions 1 to 188 of the family's 1533-position model. Lineage: Bacteria; Pseudomonadati; Pseudomonadota; Gammaproteobacteria; Vibrionales; Vibrionaceae. The record is from RNAcentral.
AAAUUGAAGAGUUUGAUCAUGGCUCAGAUUGAACGCUGGCGGCAGGCCUAACACAUGCAAGUCGAGCGGAAACGAGUUGUCAGAACCUUCGGGGGACGAUAACGGCGUCGAGCGGCGGACGGGUGAGUAAUGCCUAGGAAAUUGCCCUGAUGUGGGGGAUAACCAUUGGAAACGAUGGCUAAUACCGCAUGAUGCCUACGGGCC